Molecule: ribosomal RNA, 1556 nt
Filed under: Salmonella enterica subsp. enterica serovar Heidelberg
Lineage: Bacteria; Pseudomonadati; Pseudomonadota; Gammaproteobacteria; Enterobacterales; Enterobacteriaceae
Description: bacterial SSU rRNA
Rfam family: Bacterial small subunit ribosomal RNA
Source: RNAcentral
UUAAAUUGAAGAGUUUGAUCAUGGCUCAGAUUGAACGCUGGCGGCAGGCCUAACACAUGCAAGUCGAACGGUAACAGGAAGCAGCUUGCUGCUUUGCUGACGAGUGGCGGACGGGUGAGUAAUGUCUGGGAAACUGCCUGAUGGAGGGGGAUAACUACUGGAAACGGUGGCUAAUACCGCAUAACGUCGCAAGACCAAAGAGGGGGACCUUCGGGCAUCUUGCCAUCAGAUGUGCCCAGAUGGGAUUAGCUAGUUGGUGAGGUAACGGCUCACCAAGGCGACGAUCCCUAGCUGGUCUGAGAGGAUGACCAGCCACACUGGAACUGAGACACGGUCCAGACUCCUACGGGAGGCAGCAGUGGGGAAUAUUGCACAAUGGGCGCAAGCCUGAUGCAGCCAUGCCGCGUGUAUGAAGAAGGCCUUCGGGUUGUAAAGUACUUUCAGCGGGGAGGAAGGUGUUGUGGUUAAUAACCACAGCAAUUGACGUUACCCGCAGAAGAAGCACCGGCUAACUCCGUGCCAGCAGCCGCGGUAAUACGGAGGGUGCAAGCGUUAAUCGGAAUUACUGGGCGUAAAGCGCACGCAGGCGGUCUGUCAAGUCGGAUGUGAAAUCCCCGGGCUCAACCUGGGAACUGCAUUCGAAACUGGCAGGCUUGAGUCUUGUAGAGGGGGGUAGAAUUCCAGGUGUAGCGGUGAAAUGCGUAGAGAUCUGGAGGAAUACCGGUGGCGAAGGCGGCCCCCUGGACAAAGACUGACGCUCAGGUGCGAAAGCGUGGGGAGCAAACAGGAUUAGAUACCCUGGUAGUCCACGCCGUAAACGAUGUCUACUUGGAGGUUGUGCCCUUGAGGCGUGGCUUCCGGAGCUAACGCGUUAAGUAGACCGCCUGGGGAGUACGGCCGCAAGGUUAAAACUCAAAUGAAUUGACGGGGGCCCGCACAAGCGGUGGAGCAUGUGGUUUAAUUCGAUGCAACGCGAAGAACCUUACCUGGUCUUGACAUCCACAGAACUUUCCAGAGAUGGAUUGGUGCCUUCGGGAACUGUGAGACAGGUGCUGCAUGGCUGUCGUCAGCUCGUGUUGUGAAAUGUUGGGUUAAGUCCCGCAACGAGCGCAACCCUUAUCCUUUGUUGCCAGCGGUUAGGCCGGGAACUCAAAGGAGACUGCCAGUGAUAAACUGGAGGAAGGUGGGGAUGACGUCAAGUCAUCAUGGCCCUUACGACCAGGGCUACACACGUGCUACAAUGGCGCAUACAAAGAGAAGCGACCUCGCGAGAGCAAGCGGACCUCAUAAAGUGCGUCGUAGUCCGGAUUGGAGUCUGCAACUCGACUCCAUGAAGUCGGAAUCGCUAGUAAUCGUGGAUCAGAAUGCCACGGUGAAUACGUUCCCGGGCCUUGUACACACCGCCCGUCACACCAUGGGAGUGGGUUGCAAAAGAAGUAGGUAGCUUAACCUUCGGGAGGGCGCUUACCACUUUGUGAUUCAUGACUGGGGUGAAGUCGUAACAAGGUAACCGUAGGGGAACCUGCGGUUGGAUCACCUCCUUACCUUAAAGAAGC